This is a long non-coding RNA of Numida meleagris (helmeted guineafowl), 4050 nucleotides long. RefSeq lists it as uncharacterized. NCBI's taxonomy places the organism in Eukaryota, Metazoa, Chordata, Aves, Galliformes, Numididae. The transcript is spliced from 6 exons. The record is from RefSeq and is a predicted model, not a curated record.
CUAUCUUACUGAGCUGUGAAAUUCCAGAUGUUUAUAAGAGUUCAAAAUUCCAACGUGCUGGUUGGAAGGCUCUGAGCCACACUCCUUUCUUUUAGCAUUAGUUGUAAGUACCAAGAAUGUGUUGGCAAAGUGCAUGUAGAAAACACGUGACUGCAGGAUCUGGUUCCCACCCAAUAAAAAUAUGCUCAGGGCUACAGUGAGCCUUAUUUAUUUUGCAGUAGGUUACAAAAUACCUUUCAAAAUUACUGAUACAAGGUUUUAAGUAGAUAAGUACUGAAUUUCCUGGAAACUGUUCAGGCAAUCCAUUUAAAAUAAUGAAUAUUCUUGCUAUACAUUUUCCUGAUCUGUCAGAGUCAUAUGAGAAAAAGGUGAUAGAAAGGCUUCUGAUUUAUUUAUAUUUUCACUUAGCAACAGCUGGACAUCUGAUACUGCUCUUUAUUUCAGUUGGUCCCUGGAUAAUAAGAAGCUUGACAUUUCAGCAUGUUUCACAAGCAAGGAGUUCUGUCACUUCUUCCUCUGGAUAAAAAAAGGCGUUUGUGUAGAAGAACCAAAACAUAGCAUCAUACCAGAUACUCUGAAGAAAACAAUUCUGUCCCAGAUGAAACUAAGACACUCACCACAGUACCAAGCGAGUAGUCAAAGCUUAACACUGAACAUGAGAAUAUCAAAAUUACUGAAUUUCUUGUCUAGUUACUCAGUGAAUGUGGAGAGUAUGUAUAUAGAAAGCAAUGACUUCUUGCCAAACUGAAAACCAAAGGAAACAAGCAUGCAGAUUUUUUUUUCUCUGGCUCUGGACAAAACUCAAGUUGCAAAGUUCAUUCUGCACCCUGAAAAGUUCGCCACCUAUACUAAAUCAAUAUUUGUCUCAUCUUCAAGCAUGUCCUGUGGUGCAUUGUAGAAAACAGCUUCCCUGCAACUGUGGCAACUGACAGAAAAAGUAUGAUGAGUUUCUAACUGGAGAUGUUUAUGAACACCUUCCAGCUGGAAUGAAGGGAACAGCUGAACAACUACUGCCCAUUGGUGUUUGCUCAAACUACUGAGGAAAUCACGACAGACUUUCAGCUACAAGUGUGAUGUAAGAAAAAAUGAUACUUAUGGAGGCGUAUAUGGUCUUCAGGAGGACUCUGACAGUGACGCUUAGGCUUACAGUGCAAUGGGACUAUAUGUGAAAGCUUCUUAUUCACAAAGUAGCAGAGAAACACGUCCCCUGGCUUGCUUUGCUAGUGGAGAGUGUGCAGACCAGCAGACAAAGAAAUCAGCUGGUCACUUAAGGCUUUGCAGAACUGGUGAUCUCACCCUCUCCUCCCACUAUUACAGAGGGAAGGACUGCUAGGAUUCAACUGAUUGGUUUUAUUGCCUAUUCUCCUGACAUAUGAGAGAAGUUAACGCCCAGUUCUCUGCCAUUUAAAUUAAUUUUAAAUAGUGCUGCUUGAAAUUAUUGGACACAAGCCAGCUGAUGAUGACAGCGCUUGGGAUUUUUUUCUCCCUAUAGGAAAAAGGAAACAGCACUGGACAGUUACAUCAGAGCUUUUUAGCAAGGCAUUAAUAAAUCAUGUGAAGAUUACUGAUACUGCUGGUUACUCAUAAGCAAUAGUUUAGCUCUCACGUUCCUGAAAAGAAAUAGGUGCCUAAAAGUAUGCAUUUCAACGAUUCAAUCUGGAUGGUGAAUAUCUGCCUUUUCUGUACUGUGUAAUGGUAUGGAAUGAAUCAAUCAGUCCUAGAAAACAUUAUUGCUUGAUUCAAUGUCAUUGUUAUAUGAAAGUAGCAGAAUUGAAUCUGCUGCAUUUUGAGAAAUUGUUGCUAACAAACAGAAUGUGUAAGUUUCUUCACUGUUCAUUUACUAAUGGAGUUUGAGUUUGCAUGGCAAGCAAAAAGAAGUUGGAAAAAACCCUGUUUCUCACUGUUGUGGAGGACAAAAUUCUUUUGAUGAUUGGUCUGUAGAACUGAGACAUGGACACUGAAAGAAGACUACAUGCACAAAAUAUCUAGAAGUAAUUCGUGAGAGAAUGAAAGUGGAGAGAAUAUCAGUCGAAUGAACUAUUUCAGAACUGUCACUUGAUCUACCUGGAAAUGUUGUUUUGUGCACCGAGGAACUGCUGAAAAAGCAUUUUAUAGAGCUUGAAUCCUCUGAUUCAUUGUUGUUUUGUGGUGCUAUAUAGAUGUUCUGCCACCCUGCUUUUCUACUGCUUUAAACUAACGAAAUCUGCUACUUUGAUCAUCUGUAGCAUGUACCAAGACGUAAAACAGAUAUUCCAAUAGUGCCAUUGUACAUCUUCAGAAGAUAGCUUCUUAUUAUUGGAGAAAAAAUGAUCUCUGCACUUGAGAUUAAAACAGAUUAAUACUUUUCCUUUAUUUAUUCUCCUGCUGAUGGUAAAGUGCAGCUCCCUCGGAGAAUGGCAACUUACUCGCAAUGCAAAACGGAGAUGUGUGAUUAAUGCAAAGGAUUAUGCAGAAGAAGACAAAGAUUUUUAUCCUCAUUUUCCACUGUCACCUUGGCAAGCCCCCAGACAGUGAGGUACAAUACUUCCACGGAUAGAAAAGGAGCUCUUUAAUGGAUGAAUGUAAACAGAAGAUCUAGAAACAAAAUGCAACAUAAUGUUUGAUUAUUUACUGAAUUUUCAAGCAAUAAACUCAGGUAACUAACAGUCCCUCUUUAGAAACAAACCGAUAUCAUUAUAUAAAGAAGAAUAAGCUGUGAGAGUGGGCAGGAGGAACAUCAAGGCAUGCCUAAGUUGCUUCUUAAGUAGGCAGAGUCCACAGAGGAGGCAAGCAACUUGCAAAUGGCAGAGGAGGUGGAAAAGAGAGUAAAGCGUCCCCUCGGAUAGCAGAACUGGGGAAAUAAACGCAAUGUCACCCUCUUGCCAGCCUUCAGGAAGGAAGUCCUAUCGAAGCUGUUACCACACUGCAAAAUCUCUGUAGCUGCUAAAAGGCUUUCAAGGGGCAGCUUUAGACUAAUACCACAUUCUAGGAGGGCUUUUCAUCAAUGUCGAUUUGGAUUACAUUUAUUUGUUCACUAUUGAUUUUCUUACCAGCUUCAGAGCAGGCACUGAAUUAGUCUCAAAGGGUAGCUGCACACCACUGCAUAAACAAAGUUAGGCUAAUCAGGAUCCUCAACAACCCGUGCUGCCUAACUUUUUUUCUUCUGCAGGGCCCCACUGCAGACCACACCAACUAGCUGUCUCCAAGGCAGGUUUGUUAGUGAAGAGACACACCAUAGGCAGUGUGAACUUGUGGCUGUUGACCUCUGGCUCUGGUCCCUUGCUCUCUUCUUUUAGCUGUCGAUGUAGCCAUAGGUUACGUGCCAAGCUAUGCCCAAAGAUAUCAUAGUCAGCACAGGCAGGGAAGCAGGCUUAGACAAUGGUUUCAUGAUCAGAACUGGGUCAUUUAUACACAGGGAAAAACUUGACAAUACUUGAGCUUUUGAGUUUCUUUUGGACUGGCAGACAGUAUUGCCUGAAUGAAGUGCUUUUCCGUGAGAUGAGUCAGUUGCCUAAAGCACAGUCUUUACUGAUGUGAGAAGAGGAUUGUAGGUUAUCCACAUUUUAAUCUAAGCUGUCCUCUUCUCGAGACAAUUUAUCUCCCUAUUAUAUUUCUGGGAGACAGUGCUUGAGACAAGAGGAAAUUCUCAUCUGGAAUACAGUUCAGUGAUAUAACUGAAAGAAGGUAUUAAAGCAAAGGUCUGUUUAAACCUGUCCCAAAGCUGUGAGUAUUGUUUAAAGAGAGAUGGAGAUACUGUCAUCUCACAACAGCAGUGAAUAAUAGCUUGGUUGAGUUGUCUUUUUGUAAACAAAGGAAAACUUCUACAAAUGAUUCUCAAGAAUGCAAAACAUGCAGUGAACUCUAAAUGAAAAAGUGAUACAUAGAGCAACACACAUGUGGCAAUACUUGUCAAUUAAUAAAAGUAUCCCAACUAGAAAAUGAAUAAAACAGACUAUUUAAUAGAGACUAUAGAAUAGGUUGACUUUAAAAUUUGAGGAAUGUUGGGUUGGAGGAAGGGAGAUAGGAAGUAAUGGAGGAAAGAAGAAAGGAAAAGAAAGAAAAUGAUUCAAA